AGUGUGUGUGUAUGUGUAUAUGUGUGCCUGAGUGGGUGUAUGUAUAUGUUGAAGGGAGAGUAAAUAUGGGCAGAAGUCAAGAAAGUAGAAAGGAACCCAUGAGAGGAGAAAAGGAGGCUGAGAAUAGGGGCACCUCAAGGUAAUAUGAAGUUGGCAGGAGUACUGGAGUUGGAAGGGUCCAAGUGGGGUCAAGGAUGGAGAGGAGAGGAGCAGGUGGGAGACAAGGGUCAACCCAAAACUAAGUGUGCCCUAAAAAGCCAAAAGGUAAAAUGCUACCUCAUGUGCCGACAAUUGUGCUCUUGAAAAGGGAAAAGCUCCUCUGUCAGGGUCUCAGUUCCUUAUCUGAAAAAAAUAAUCUGAAGAUUAAGCCAAAUGUUCUUUAGUUCAAAAGUUUCUGUGUGCAUCAGCUCCUAUGUGGAGUUCUGAUGAGACAAACUCAGACCCAAAUGCUGUGAAGAACGCUGGGGCCUCUCUGCGAGGAGUGUUAACAACUUUCAUAAUGGGGCAGUGACUGAAGUGAAGGUGGUUAUGGAACAAGAGGAGGCUCCUGGAAAUGAGCAUGCGCUUUCAGCUGCUUCUGGCUGGGUGCCACCAAGAACCCUAAAUGAGGGCAGGAAGCUUUGUUGAUAAUUUGUCCCCCUCAGUAAAUGCAUUUCCUAUUUCUCCAUGUUUUGAAGAUGCUAAAGAAUGGAAUGCCUUGUAGAGUCACAUUCUAAGUUUGAUGACAAGUCUGUGAGGACAUUUUAAUAACUGCUCCUUGUAUCGCGUCUCGCAGCCUAUGAACACAUACUGUGUGCAUUGCCCUACUUUAUCGUCCCAAUGUGGUAGCAAUCAUGUGUUGUUUCCCUAGAGAACACAGUCUGAGUCAGGGCGGAGGGAUUCACUCCAGAAGACCAUCCAGGACAAAGCUGGAGAAAGAGUCAGCAUUCUUGGCUUCCAAUUUUCUCUUUAGUUCAGCACAAAGAUCAGGAGUCCUCAGAGUCCUUUAGCCAAGCUGUGAGUUGCAGCCAUGGGCCAAGGUCCAAUCAUCUCACCUCUAAAGAGCCAGCUGAAGUAGACUCAAGUCAUCUCAGCUCCUUCCUCCAGGGAUCAGGAUGACGUUGGGGCCGACUCUGAGACUUUUCCAUCGUUCCCCCCUCUCAAACCUGGAAAAUUCUGGACCCCCACACCCUACAGAUAAAAACCUCUUCCCUCUUUGUACUAGAGAAUGAUGGGGUUUAGUCAGGUGGGCAGGCUUCUCAGGACUGCCUCAACAGGUUUGGCAGCUCUGACAGGCUCCACCAUAGGCUCCAACAUCUGCUUUCACUAGACCCACCUCCUUAUCGGAGAGUCCCUGGGUCCCAUUGAGCUCUGCCAGAGGUCAUGCCCCACUUCAUGAAUCAUUCUUGACUCAUUUUACAAUGCCGCCUUUUCAAGAAAAAUACAAAGACUGUGUUUACCCUGAGUCAUGGUAUUCUGUCAUCUACCACGAACAAAAGGAAAUUUUUAAAAAGUGAAUUCACUUUAUCUACGCAUCUUUGUUUUAUCCUUUGUGAGUUGUUCAAGCCAGGCCAAAGUUUAGAGAAGGACAUAGUGAGUGCAUGCCUGUAAUCCUAGCACUUGGUGGUGGUAAGGUGUCCUAGAGCUCAGGACCAACCCCAGUGAGCUACAUAGUGAAUUGCAGGCCACCCUGGGAUACAUGAGAUCUCAACAAUACUAUCCCAGAGUGACUGUUUUCCUUCUCAGGAUUUGGAAUAUUCUGCCUUCUGACCUAGGUAGCUAGAGAGAAAAAGAAAGCAAGGUUUGAUACUAGAUAUCACUUGGCUGUGUACUAGCAAUGUGAUCUUGGGAUAAUUUAGCUUCUCUCAAACCUGUCAUCCUUUAAAAGAGAAUAGCAGUGCUUAUCUUGAUGACAACAUUGUGAAGAUAUAUCAUCUAUGAAGUAUCUGAUACAAUAUCACUCUCCUCCAAUUCUUAUAUAAGAUGAGCAAGACAGUAGACAGGUAAUGUUGGGUAGUUUGAGACAUAGCCCUUGGACCAUAGCUAUGUCACUGAUAAAAUUGAGUUGUAGACAUGAUUUUUGCAAGAGGAUUGAGAACUGGUGAUAACAGAGUUCAUCACAGCAUUGGGCUAUGGUAGACCAUAAAGAAAUGCAUAGUCACAGCUAUACCUAUCUCAGAAGUCUCCAGCAGGGACCAGUAUCUCUAGCAAAUAGGCCCCAGGAAGGUAAAAAGUCAUUAGAUCAGAAUCAGUGCAGAAGAAUGAAGGCUGGGACAAAAAAGGAGGCACCACUGAGUUCUAAGCCACCAAAAGGUCAAACAAAGAUCAAUACCUAGAGGUGUAUAGCAAGAUGCCCAGGCAGGACAUGGGACCUGGAAGGAACCUGCCUCUUGGACCUGCUACUACAUAUAGCCAGUCAUAUGAUGUGUCUUCCAUGGCUUUGUGAUCACACAGUCACCCCGAUGGGUCUGAAGGCCUGCAUCAUCAAUGCAGGCUGCCAGACAAGGCUCUACAGAGGCCAGAAAUCAUGAAGCAGGACCCUGGAAGAGACUGGUCACUACUUGGAUGAUCAUGGUUGUCACAGAGACCCUGGCAUCGUGCCCAUGACUGUCACAGCUAGAAUGUCUGCUAUUAUUUGGGUGGAAAGUUUCAGGACACAAGUAGUCAUUGGAAAUGGAAAUGUUCUUGUUACCAGCAUUUGAAAAGUUGAGUUGCACCUUGUGAUGCUUCCAGAAGGCAUCUUUCCAAUUAUGUGGUAUGUCCAGUGUUCCAACACGAACCACAGAUUCCCCCAAGGUCACCUUCCUGCACUCUUCUGGAAUGUCCACAGGAAAGACCAUGAAGAGCCAAAGGGAGUGGAUGGAACCUUCUUGUACAAAAGGCCCUCUGCAUUCUCUGCCCAGCUAUGAGAGGACAGUCCUUCGCCAGACUCUGUUGUGAGCUGUCCACACCACUCAUAUUUGGCUCCAUCACCUCUCCCAUCCACUAAAUUCUUCAUGUUCCUUUCCAACCUCACCUUAAGUGUUUCAGCGCCAUAUCUUCCUCCUGAAUCAGAGUAAAGUAAGAAUAUGUUCAUGUUUUAUAAAUAUAUUAAACAACCUAAAUUCUAGCAGA
Molecule: long non-coding RNA, 3093 nt
Organism: Mus musculus (house mouse)
Lineage: Eukaryota; Metazoa; Chordata; Mammalia; Rodentia; Muridae
Product: predicted gene, 51676
Exons: 2
Source: RefSeq, a predicted model, not a curated record